Non-coding RNA from Schistosoma mattheei, 46 nucleotides. NCBI's taxonomy places the organism in Eukaryota, Metazoa, Platyhelminthes, Trematoda, Strigeidida, Schistosomatidae. The record is from Rfam.
GCACUGUUGAGGAGUCUCAUACUAGGGCGAAACGGCCGUCCAGUGC